Molecule: non-coding RNA, 72 nt
Organism: Gekko japonicus
Lineage: Eukaryota; Metazoa; Chordata; Lepidosauria; Squamata; Gekkonidae
Source: the annotation of a RefSeq genome assembly
UGAGCCAUGGCUCAGUGGUAGAGCAUCUGCCUUGCACGCAGAAGGUCCCAGUUUCAAUCCCUGGUGUCUCUA